CAGAGGGGGCAAGCGUUGUUCGGAAUUACUGGGCGUAAAGGGCGCGUAGGCGGCCUUCUAAGUCGAACGUGAAAUCCCUGGGCUCAACCCAGGAACUGCGUCCGAUACUGGGAGGCUUGAAUCCGGGAGAGGGAUGUGGAAUUCCGAGUGUAGAGGUGAAAUUCGUAGAUAUUCGGAAGAACACCAGUGGCGAAGGCGGCUCACUGGACCGGUAUUGACGCUGAGGUGCGAAAGCGUGGGGAGCAAACAGG
This 251-nucleotide ribosomal RNA is filed under the name uncultured bacterium. RNAcentral's name for it is "partial 16S ribosomal RNA". It matches the Rfam family "Bacterial small subunit ribosomal RNA", at positions 526 to 776 of the family's 1533-position model. The record is from RNAcentral.